GAUGAAGAACGCAGCAAAAUGCGAUAAGUAAUGUGAAUUGCAGAAUUCAGUGAAUCAUCGAAUCUUUGAACGCACAUUGCGCCCGCUGGUAUUCCGGCGGGCAUGCCUGUUCGAGCGUCAUUUCAACCAUCAAGCCCCAGGCUUGCGUUGGAGCCCUGCGGCUGCCGCAGCCUCCUAAAAGCAGUGGCGGGCUCGCUAUCACACCGAGUGCAGUAGAUUACUCUUCGCUCAGGGCGUGCAGCGGGUUCCGGCCGUGAAACCCCCUACUUUUAAAGGUUGACCUCGGAUCAGGUAGGAAUACCCGCUGAACUUAAGCAUAUCAAUAAGCGGAGGA
RNAcentral lists this unclassified non-coding RNA (334 nucleotides) under soil metagenome. RNAcentral describes it as "partial contains 5.8S ribosomal RNA, internal transcribed spacer 2, and large subunit ribosomal RNA". The stretch from base 1 to 120 matches the Rfam family "5.8S ribosomal RNA", at positions 35 to 154 of the family's 154-position model. The record is from RNAcentral.